CCGGGAGGCACUGCCUGCCCAAUGAAAUUUUAACCUUUAAUGGCCGCAGUAUCCUGACUGUGCAAAGGUAGCAUAAUCACUUGUCCUUUAAAUAAGGACUAGUAUGAACGGCAAGACGAGAGCUAAACUGUCUCUUUUAUUUAGUCAAUGAAACUGACCUUUCGGUGCAAAGGCCGAAAUCUACCAAUAAGACGAGAAGACCCUAUGGAACUUAAAACACACAUCCACCUUACUAGCAUAUUUAGCCAACAUAAGACUGGCCAAGCUGUUUUUGGUUGGGGCAACCACGGAGAACAACCAUCCUCCGAGCACUCGGCUAAGUUUACACAACAAAGCCUUAUAACAGUACCCACUGACCCAAUAUAAUUGAUCAACGAACCAAGCUACCCUAGGGAUAACAGCGCAAUCUUCUCCGAGAGUUCAUAUUAACGAGAAGGUUUACGACCUCGAUGUUGGAUCAGGAUACCCAGACAGUGCAGCCGCCGUCAAAGGUUUGUUUGUUCAACAAUUAAAAUCCUACGUGAUCUGAGUUAAACCGG
Molecule: ribosomal RNA, 539 nt
Filed under: Microcaecilia sp. IWK0128
Lineage: Eukaryota; Metazoa; Chordata; Amphibia; Gymnophiona; Siphonopidae
Description: partial 16S ribosomal RNA
Rfam family: Bacterial large subunit ribosomal RNA
Source: RNAcentral